This 236-nucleotide ribosomal RNA is filed under the name uncultured bacterium. Its description in RNAcentral is "partial 16S ribosomal RNA". It matches the Rfam family "Bacterial small subunit ribosomal RNA", at positions 118 to 347 of the family's 1533-position model. The record is from RNAcentral.
UGAGGAACAUGACCUUCGGCGGGGGAUAGCCGGCCCAACGGCCGGGUAAUACCGCGUACGACCUUUCGGGGACAUCCCUGGAUGGUGAAAGCAGCAAUGCGCCGAUGGAGUGCCUCGCGGCCUAUCAGCUAGUUGGUGAGGUAACGGCUCACCAAGGCGACGACGGGUAGCUGGUCUGAGAGGAUGGCCAGCCACAUUGGGACUGAGACACGGCCCAGACCUCCGUACGGGAGCAG